UGGGGAAUAUUGCACAAUGGGCGCAAGCCUGAUGCAGCAACGCCGCGUGAGGGACGACGGCCUUCGGGUUGUAAACCUCUUUUAGUAGGGAAGAAGCGAAAGUGACGGUACCUGCAGAAAAAGCACCGGCUAACUACGUGCCAGCAGCCGCGGUAAUACGUAGGGUGCGAGCGUUGUCCGGAAUUAUUGGGCGUAAAGAGCUCGUAGGCGGUCUGUCGCGUCUGCUGUGAAAACCCGAGGCUCAACCUCGGGCCUGCAGUGGGUACGGGCAGACUAGAGUGCGGUAGGGGAGAAUGGAAUUCCUGGUGUAGCGGUGGAAUGCGCAGAUAUCGGGAGGAACACCGAUGGCGAAGGCAGUUCUCUGGGCCGUAACUGACGCUGAGGAGCGAAAGCGUGGGGAGCGAACAGGAUUAGAUACCCUGGUAGUCCACGCCGUAAACGUUGGGUGCUAGAUGUGGGGACCAUUCCACGGUUUCCGUGUCGCAGCUAACGCAUUAAGCGCCCCGCCUGGGGAGUACGGCCGCAAGGCU
Molecule: ribosomal RNA, 530 nt
Filed under: uncultured bacterium
Lineage: Bacteria
Description: partial 16S ribosomal RNA
Rfam family: Bacterial small subunit ribosomal RNA
Source: RNAcentral